UUGAAAGUUCUUGAUAUUUUUGGUGUCUU
Molecule: non-coding RNA, 29 nt
Filed under: Mus musculus (house mouse)
Lineage: Eukaryota; Metazoa; Chordata; Mammalia; Rodentia; Muridae
Source: RNAcentral